CUUGAGUCAUCAGUACCUUCAGAUGGAGAUUUUGCUAGAUUUCGGUGAGAAUUUGUUUACCAUGCUAACUCCAGGCAGAGUAAAUUAGAAAAAGAAUCCAUUAUCAAAUGUAAUAUUUAGACAUAAUUGGCACCUUACAAAUUGUAUUAUCUGGCUUCUUGAUGCCUUGUGCAUUGGAGAUUAGAAUAUAUAGUAUCUUCUAAAAUGUUUAUAUUUUAAAGCCUACUUUUUCCUAUUAUCUUUGCAACUUGGAGGCUAACAUCUGAGUGAAAAUAAUUCUCAGGUUGAGUUCUUAGUUAGUUGUUGUUGCUGCUGUUGUUGUUUUGAGAUGGAGUCUCACCCUUUCGCCAGGCUGGAGUGCAGUGGCGCAUUCUUGGCUCACUGCAACCUCCGCCUCCCGGGUAGCUGGGAUUACAGGCAUGCAUCACCAUAUCUCGCUAAUUUUUGUGGUUUUGGUAGAGACAGGGUUUCACCAUGUUGGCCAGGCUGGUCUCGAACUCCUAACCUCGUGAUUUGCCCGCCUGGGCCUCCCAAAGUGCUGGGAUUACAGGCUUGAGCCACCACACCCAGCCCUUACUUACUCAGUUUUGUCUGUAGAGUUGUCCCAAAAAUUAUGGAGAUGAGCCAGGCAUGGUGGCUAACACCUAGCACUUUGGAAGUUUGAGGUGGACCGAUUGCUUGAGCCCAGGAGUUGGAGACCACACUGGGCAACAUAGGGAGACCCUGUCUCUGUGAAAAAUAAAAUUAGCCACUUGUGGUGAUACGUGCCUGUGGUCGUAGCUAUUUGGGAGAUUGAGGCAGGAGGAUUGCUUGAGCCCAGGAAGUCAAGGUUGCUAUGAUUUAUGAGCUCUGAUCACACCACUGCACUCCAGGCUGGGCAACAGAACGAGACCUUUUCUAAAAAAAAAAAAAAAAAAAAAAAAAAGCUAUGGAAGUGUAAGGCAGCUUGGUGGUUGGUUGCAAGGGGCUGAAGGAGGGAAAGUAAGGAGUGACUGCUUAAUGGGUGUAGGAUUUCCUUUUUGGGACAAUGAAGUUUUAGAAUUAGAUAGUGGUAUUGAUUGUACAACAUGUUGAAUAGACUAGAUGGCACUGAAUUGCAAACUAAAAUGGUUUAAAAGUUGAAUGUUAUUACUUAUAUUUUACCAGAAUAGAAAAAAGUACGAUUCUCUAAACAUAAGUGAAGUUAGUGCCCAGACAUAUUUGCAAGUGAGGGGCCUUAGUAACUAGUAUAGAGAAAGUAGCUGUUCUCUGCGGAAGCUAUCACUUGAUACUAAUCACUAGGCAGGUAUAGAAUGUCCUAGAGUUGAGCAAGCCUCAAAAACUCACUUCAGUUUAGUCCUCCUGAAUCUCAGUGGAACAGAGCUAGAAUAGUUUAAAAGACAUAGAGGCAGCUGGUGGGUGGGCCAUGCCUGUAAUCCCAGCACUUUGGGAGGCCAAGGUGGGUGGAUCACGAGGUCAGGAGUUCGAGACCAGCUUGGCCAACAUAGUGAAACCCCGUCUCUACUAAAAA
Molecule: small RNA, 1510 nt
Filed under: Pan troglodytes (chimpanzee)
Lineage: Eukaryota; Metazoa; Chordata; Mammalia; Primates; Hominidae
Description: sense intronic
Source: RNAcentral